AAGUAGAACGGAAUGAUGAACUCAACCAUUUGCACUUUUCAACCAGCCGAGAAAAAGCAGUGAAGUACAAGAGGCUCAAGUCGUUUUCACCAUCGAAAGUGCCGCAAUACGUUAAACUGGUGGAAGAGUUCAGGGAGCACACGGAAGGAAGCGAUGCCACACUGUCAAAAAAGAGGUACAAU
Long non-coding RNA from Etheostoma spectabile (orangethroat darter), 182 nucleotides. RefSeq lists it as uncharacterized. The transcript is spliced from 3 exons. The record is from RefSeq and is a predicted model, not a curated record. NCBI's taxonomy places the organism in Eukaryota, Metazoa, Chordata, Actinopteri, Perciformes, Percidae.